GACGAACGCUGGCGGCGUGCUUAACACAUGCAAGUCGAACGGAAAGGCCCCUUUGGGGGUACUCGCGUGGCGAACGGGCGAGUAACACGUGCGUAACCUGCCCUUGCCUUCGGGUUAACUUCCGGAAACUGGGGCUAAUACCGGCUAGGAAUCCUUUCUGCCUGGAUGGGGUUGGAAAGCUUGGGGGGUUUUGGGUGGACUCGCGGCCUAUCUGUUUGUUGGUGGGGUAGUGGGUUACCUAGGCUUUGACGGGUAGCCGGCCUGAGAGGGCGACCGGCCACAUUGGGACUGAGAUACGGCCCAGACUCCUAAGGGAGGCAGCAGGGGGGAAUAUUGCACAAUGGGCGGAAGCCUGAUGCAGCAACGCCGCGGGCGGGAAGACGGGCUUCGGGUUGUAAACCGCUUUCAGCAGGUGCGAAGCUUGUGGUGACGGUACCUGGAGAAGAAGCACCGGCUAACUACGUG
This 465-nucleotide ribosomal RNA is filed under the name uncultured bacterium. RNAcentral describes it as "partial 16S ribosomal RNA". It matches the Rfam family "Bacterial small subunit ribosomal RNA", at positions 28 to 507 of the family's 1533-position model. The record is from RNAcentral.